This 938-nucleotide long non-coding RNA is filed under the name Triticum aestivum (bread wheat). RNAcentral describes it as "long non-coding RNA (TAES_LNC007110)". Lineage: Eukaryota; Viridiplantae; Streptophyta; Magnoliopsida; Poales; Poaceae. The record is from RNAcentral.
GCUGUACCAGUGGGGAUCUCCCGUAGGGAUGCCACGUUGCGAGGGCAGGAUCCUGGGCGUUCCCUGGCGUCGCUGCCCUGGCGACCUUGCUGGAAGUUCUGUGGCGUCGCUGCCCUAGCGACCUCGGGGAAGGAAGCGACGCUGCUCGCGGACGGUCUCCACGUUGGUCGGCAACAAUGGCGGUGACACGGUCAGUCAAGGGUAUUUCCUAAGUCCACACCGUACAGGCAGCAAAUGAAUGAUGGGAUCUCCCGUAGGGAUGCCACGCUGCGAGGGCAGGAUCCUGGGCGUUCCCUGGCGUCGCUGCCCUGGCGACCUUGCUGGAAGUUCUGUGGCGUCGCUGCCCUGGCGACCUCGGGGAAGGAAGCGACGCUGCUCGCGGACGGUCUCCACGUUGGUCGGCAACAAUGGCGAUGGUGCGACGGUGCGAUGUCGAAUUAAUUUUGUUUCCUUAUUUUACCAGGAGAUCAGCGUGGUGUGAUGACGAAUUAAUGUUGUUUCCUUAUUUACCUGGAGUACAGCGUGAUUGUAGGGGGUGGAUGGGGGGUGCUGGAGGUGGAGGACGGUCAGUCAAGGGUAUUUCCUAAGUCCACACCGUACAGGCAGCAAAUGAAUGAUGGCUGUUAGAUUUAGAUGUGCGGGUAUAAUUGUGUGGUGUUGAUUGUUCCGUGCGUUUUGCGGGACAAGUUGCCGGGUGUACUUAACGAAGUUCUUGUUUGCUUGUUUAUUAGUAGUAGAGAUACAAGUCAGGACAGGCACGCCGUGUAAGUUCGCAAGAAACCAUAAAUGAUGGCUGGGCAGUUGUCUUACAAGCAACAUAAAUUACCGGCACUCCAGCGGCAUCCCCUAAGAAGGGGCGACCGGUGCGGCACCCUCGGCGGUUCACGAAUUACCGGCACUCCGGCGGCGUCCCCUGAGAAGGAGUUGUUGGUCCUCGG